The sequence is a ribosomal RNA, 2910 nucleotides long. It matches the Rfam family "Bacterial large subunit ribosomal RNA".
UUAAGGGCGCACGGUGGAUGCCUUGGCACUAGAAGCCGAUGAAGGACGUUACUAACGACGAUAUGCUUUGGGGAGCUGUAAGUAAGCUUUGAUCCAGAGAUUUCCGAAUGGGGAAACCCAGCAUGAGUUAUGUCAUGUUAUCGAUAUGUGAAUACAUAGCAUAUCAGAAGGCACACCCGGAGAACUGAAACAUCUUAGUACCCGGAGGAAGAAAAAGAAAAUUCGAUUCCCUUAGUAGCGGCGAGCGAAACGGGAAGAGCCCAAACCAACAAGCUUGCUUGUUGGGGUUGUAGGACACUCUAUACGGAGUUACAAAGGACGACAUUAGACGAAUCAUCUGGAAAGAUGAAUCAAAGAAGGUAAUAAUCCUGUAGUCGAAAAUGUUGUCUCUCUUGAGUGGAUCCUGAGUACGACGGAGCACGUGAAAUUCCGUCGGAAUCUGGGAGGACCAUCUCCUAAGGCUAAAUACUCUCUAGUGACCGAUAGUGAACCAGUACCGUGAGGGAAAGGUGAAAAGCACCCCGGAAGGGGAGUGAAAUAGAACCUGAAACCGUGUGCUUACAAGUAGUCAGAGCCCGUUAAUGGGUGAUGGCGUGCCUUUUGUAGAAUGAACCGGCGAGUUACGAUUUGAUGCAAGGUUAAGCAGUAAAUGUGGAGCCGUAGCGAAAGCGAGUCUGAAUAGGGCGUUUAGUAUUUGGUCGUAGACCCGAAACCAGGUGAUCUACCCUUGGUCAGGUUGAAGUUCAGGUAACACUGAAUGGAGGACCGAACCGACUUACGUUGAAAAGUGAGCGGAUGAACUGAGGGUAGCGGAGAAAUUCCAAUCGAACCUGGAGAUAGCUGGUUCUCUCCGAAAUAGCUUUAGGGCUAGCCUCAAGUGAUGAUUAUUGGAGGUAGAGCACUGUUUGGACGAGGGGCCCCUCUCGGGUUACCGAAUUCAGACAAACUCCGAAUGCCAAUUAAUUUAACUUGGGAGUCAGAACAUGGGUGAUAAGGUCCGUGUUCGAAAGGGAAACAGCCCAGACCACCAGCUAAGGUCCCAAAAUAUAUGUUAAGUGGAAAAGGAUGUGGCGUUGCCCAGACAACUAGGAUGUUGGCUUAGAAGCAGCCAUCAUUUAAAGAGUGCGUAAUAGCUCACUAGUCGAGUGACACUGCGCCGAAAAUGUACCGGGGCUAAACAUAUUACCGAAGCUGUGGAUUGUCCUUUGGACAAUGGUAGGAGAGCGUUCUAAGGGCGUUGAAGCAUGAUCGUAAGGACAUGUGGAGCGCUUAGAAGUGAGAAUGCCGGUGUGAGUAGCGAAAGACGGGUGAGAAUCCCGUCCACCGAUUGACUAAGGUUUCCAGAGGAAGGCUCGUCCGCUCUGGGUUAGUCGGGUCCUAAGCUGAGGCCGACAGGCGUAGGCGAUGGAUAACAGGUUGAUAUUCCUGUACCACCUAUAAUCGUUUUAAUCGAUGGGGGACGCAGUAGGAUAGGCGAAGCGUGCGAUUGGAUUGCACGUCUAAGCAGUAAGGCUGAGUAUUAGGCAAAUCCGGUACUCGUUAAGGCUGAGCUGUGAUGGGGAGAAGACAUUGUGUCUUCGAGUCGUUGAUUUCACACUGCCGAGAAAAGCCUCUAGAUAGAAAAUAGGUGCCCGUACCGCAAACCGACACAGGUAGUCAAGAUGAGAAUUCUAAGGUGAGCGAGCGAACUCUCGUUAAGGAACUCGGCAAAAUGACCCCGUAACUUCGGGAGAAGGGGUGCUCUUUAGGGUUAACGCCCAGAAGAGCCGCAGUGAAUAGGCCCAAGCGACUGUUUAUCAAAAACACAGGUCUCUGCUAAACCGUAAGGUGAUGUAUAGGGGCUGACGCCUGCCCGGUGCUGGAAGGUUAAGAGGAGUGGUUAGCUUCUGCGAAGCUACGAAUCGAAGCCCCAGUAAACGGCGGCCGUAACUAUAACGGUCCUAAGGUAGCGAAAUUCCUUGUCGGGUAAGUUCCGACCCGCACGAAAGGCGUAACGAUUUGGGCACUGUCUCAACGAGAGACUCGGUGAAAUCAUAGUACCUGUGAAGAUGCAGGUUACCCGCGACAGGACGGAAAGACCCCGUGGAGCUUUACUGUAGCCUGAUAUUGAAAUUCGGCACAGCUUGUACAGGAUAGGUAGGAGCCUUUGAAACGUGAGCGCUAGCUUACGUGGAGGCGCUGGUGGGAUACUACCCUAGCUGUGUUGGCUUUCUAACCCGCACCACUUAUCGUGGUGGGAGACAGUGUCAGGCGGGCAGUUUGACUGGGGCGGUCGCCUCCUAAAAGGUAACGGAGGCGCUCAAAGGUUCCCUCAGAAUGGUUGGAAAUCAUUCAUAGAGUGUAAAGGCAUAAGGGAGCUUGACUGCGAGACCUACAAGUCGAGCAGGGUCGAAAGACGGACUUAGUGAUCCGGUGGUUCCGCAUGGAAGGGCCAUCGCUCAACGGAUAAAAGCUACCCCGGGGAUAACAGGCUUAUCUCCCCCAAGAGUUCACAUCGACGGGGAGGUUUGGCACCUCGAUGUCGGCUCAUCGCAUCCUGGGGCUGUAGUCGGUCCCAAGGGUUGGGCUGUUCGCCCAUUAAAGCGGUACGCGAGCUGGGUUCAGAACGUCGUGAGACAGUUCGGUCCCUAUCCGUCGUGGGCGUAGGAAAUUUGAGAGGAGCUGUCCUUAGUACGAGAGGACCGGGAUGGACAUACCUCUGGUGUACCAGUUGUCGUGCCAACGGCAUAGCUGGGUAGCUAUGUGUGGACGGGAUAAGUGCUGAAAGCAUCUAAGCAUGAAGCCCCCCUCAAGAUGAGAUUUCCCAACUUCGGUUAUAAGAUCCCUCAAAGAUGAUGAGGUUAAUAGGUUCGAGGUGGAAGCAUGGUGACAUGUGGAGCUGACGAAUACUAAUCGAUCGAAGACUUAAUC